AUAAUUGCUUGCUGUUAAGAGUCAGCUAAGGAUGCCUGUUGAAAAUAGACUCCACGCCCCCUUCCCUUCGAAGGCUGAUUCUGCAGGUUUGCAAAACGCUGAGCAUAUUUUUUUGUGGUCUCAGUAUUCAGAGCUCAAAGUACAUCAGGUGAAGAACCUGGAAUCUACAAGUUCAAGAGGCAUGGGGAGCACCUUGGGUCUUGUUUUAUCACCUAGGCUGGAAUGCAGUGGAACCUGCUUAGCUCACUGUAGCCUUGAACUGCUGGGCUCAAGCAGUCCUCCUGUUUUGGCCUCUGAAGCAACUGGGACUACAGGUAUUGGCCUGGAGUGAUUCCAAGCUCUCCUGGAACAGGAGGUGCCCCCACUCUGGGCAUAAAUAUCUCUCCCUCAUCCCUCGCAGACAACGAUCUUUGAGUACCAUCCAGUCAUAAUAUAGACAUGGCCAAGGUAACGGAGGUAAACAGAAAACAGGAAAAAUACUAGGCUGUUUGCACUGGAACAUGGUAACCAUGAAAUGAGCAAACAUUUAAUUUUGUUCAUUGAGGUCAACGUGAAAGCUGCUGAAUCUCUUAUAACAACUUUCAGGACACUUGGUGCAUGCCAUUUUGAAACACCUCAAGCUGAGCCUGUUGUUCUGAAAUGUCAGAAUGUUCCAUUCUGGUAAACAUUCAACUUGUAUUGAGUUUUCCCUUUGUGCAGAACCCUGUGAAGUGCAGCUAAAAUGUAUAAGGGGAAUGAAAGAGGAUAAAAUGAAAACUGUGGAAGCCGUGAGUCAGUAGGCAGUGAAAACUAUCCGAGAAGGCUUUCUGCUUUUGGUUGAUUACAGACUGAAUCUAUGACCCAGGGAAAGAAGCCCACCCAUUCUUUGUACGUGUGCCUUAUUUCUGUGGUUCCCUUUUCAAUAUAAGGGGCUGCUGAGACAGUAAUUUUUACAUGUGGAGUAAGGUAAUCUCAGAACAUUCCUGUGUGAGUUUGAGGCAGCUUUGAAUCCUGGUUCCACUGCUAUUACCUCUGCAGCUUUGGGCAGGUUACUUAAUCUCUGUGAUCCUGAGUUUCACAUCUGUAAAUUGGGGGUAAUAAAAGUAUCUAUUUAGGGGUUUAUUGUAAGGACUACAAAGGAAUUAUGAAUCUAAAUUGCUUAGUGCAGCCUGGUCCAAAAAUGUUCAAUGAAUGUUAAGCUAUUAUUAUGGAAAAUUAAGUCGACUCUGGAAAAAUCAAUGAUUUAGGAUUCUUUAGUUUGCUAGUUUUGAAAAUGGCUCAAUCUAGCACAAGCAAGACGGUAUGAGCAUUCUAACACAUAAUAAAUGGAAAGCUGAGUAUGGUGGUAUGCCUAUAAUUCCUCGGGAGCCUAAGGUAGGAGGAUCUCUUGAGCCCAGGAGUUCAAGGCCAGCUUGGGCAACAUAGUGAGAUCCCCAUCUCUUAAAAAAAAAAGGGAAAGCCAAGUACUCAUCUAUUCAUUUACUCAUCAAACAACAUGGAACAUUUUUAUGUGCUUGCCAGUGGGCAAAGCACUGGGAGUGCAGGUAUAAAAGUAACAAUUCCCAUCUUCCAGGAUCUUAAAGACUAGUGGAACAGAUCCAAAAGUAAAGUGACGGCCAGGUGUGGUGGCUCAGCCUGUAAUCCCAGCACUUUGGGAGGCCAAGGUGGGCGGAUCACAGGGUCAAGAGAUCGAGACCAUCGUGGGCAACAUGUUGAAACCCCGUCUUUACUAAAAAUACAAAAAUUAGCUGGGCGUGGUGGCACGUGCCUGUAGUCUCAGCUACUGAGGAGGCUGAGGCAGGAGAAUUGCUUGAACCCAGGAGGCGGAGUUUGCAGUGAGCUGAGGUCGCACCACUGCACUCUAGCCUGGCGACAGAGUGAGACUCCGUCUCAAAAAAAAAAAAAAAAAAAAAGUAAACUGACAAUGACAAUAUAGCAUGUGUACUUAAUAAAUGCAGUUUGGCAGACUUAUGCUUUGAAAACCCAGAGCUUGUGGGAGAAGCAUACUGAAAGGAUUACAUGCUCACUAAAGUCUAAUAUUCAAAUUCCAAAGGAAUUGGCGACGGAAGUCAGGAACACAUGAGAGACUACUUGAGGUCUGGCCUCGGGAACUCUCUUCUUCCCAGGCAGAUGUCAACUUUUGUCUCUAAGAUGAAUGCCAGCCUUGGAUAGGAAUUUUAAAAUUCCUUAAAAAAGCUCUAGGCCAACCCUAUGUGACUCAGGUUCAAGCCACAUUUGCCACCAGGGAAGCCCUAACCAUGUGCCAGAGAUCUGAUGCCUGCCCUUCUACCUGGGAUUCCUCAAUCCAUAAGGUUUAAGAUCGGAACUGGACUCUUCCUUAUAUGUGGGUAAAGACUAGUCCUGGCCCUGAACUCCAUGCUUCUGGAUAGAAUCCUGCUACCUCUCAGAGACUUCACCAAUGACUUCUUUUGCCCUUAAGCUUGUAUUUUUUGUUAACAGCCGUAUUGAUAUUUAAUUCACAUAGUAUACGAUUCACUCAUUUAAAGUGUAAAAUUUAAUGGCUUUAAUAUAUUCCAGAGAUGUGCACCUAUUAUCACAGUUAACCUCAGAAUAUUAUGCAAAAAAAGCCUCCACACCCCAUACCUGUCACCCCCAAAGCUCUCAUCAACCCAGAUCUAAUCUACUUUUCAUUUCUAUAGAUUUGCCUAUUUAUUUAUUUAUUUUGUAAGUUUUAAAAGUCAUGUUUAUUGAAAUCUGAAUUUACAUUCAGUAAAAUUCACCCUCUUAAGUAUAAGAUUUGACAAAUGCAUAGUCAUACCAUAAUCAAGAUGCAGAACAAUUAUAGAAUCACUCUAACCAUUCCCUUCUGCCUCUUUGCAGUCAACUCCUUUUGGAUCCCAAGGAACUCACUGACCUGCUUUUCUAUCAAAAGGGUCAAAUUUUGUCACUAAAAUAAUCUAUGGUACUAUGGAAAAAUUUGCAAGCAUACAAAACACACAAACCAAUUUUUAACAUGAGACACUUUGAAAAGUUUCUUUAGCAUACCAACAAAAUGAAGGUAGCUUAACAUUGUACUACAGAUGUGCAUUCAUCAAAGUCUACCAUUUAAGGAUAUUUAAGAAUAUACUAUAUUUAAGAAUACACAUAUUUAAGAAGAUACUGUAAAAUAACAAUCUUUAGAAGAGUCAAAAGAAUGUGAUUUUAAAACAACUUUAUAAAUUAAAGCACUUUAUAAAGUUGUCUUAGAUAGUUGUAAAAUAGUCAGUCUAGUUAGAAUUAAUGUGUUCUAAAACUGAUCUACUUGAAAAACUAAGAUGAGUUAUAUCUUUGUUGAGUAUGUGAACCAUGAUUAAGGUCUUGCUAUUUGGUGUUAACACUGUCAAGUUACAGACCAUGGCUGGUUCAUAGAAAAACUACUUUAAAUAAUGGAAUUGAAUUCCGCAGAAAUUUUCUAUGGGACCAACUCAGCUAUAGGGCAGAGGCACAAAAUUGUCAAGUAAAUAUUCCUAUAGAUAAUUGAGGCCAUGACAAAAUUCACCCUUAUUACCACUACGAAAGGGACAAAAGAAGCAAAAAUGUCCAUUCUGUAGAUACUAAAGAUUACAUGUUUAAAUACAUCUUAUCUACUUGAAAAGCUUUGGCCAAGCAUGGUGUCUCAGGCUUGUAAUCCCAGCACUUUGGGAGGCCGAGGCGGGUAGAUUGCUUGAGUCCAGGAGUUCGAGAUUAGCCUGGGCAGCAUGGUGAAACCCCCUCUCUACAAAAAUGCAAAAAUUAGCUGGGCAUGGUGGCACACACCUGUAGUCCCAGCUACUCAGGAGGCUGAGGUGGGAGAAUCACCUGAGCCUAGGAUAUGGAGAUUGUAGUGAGCAGAGAUGGCACCACGCCACUGCACUCCAGCCUGGGCAAUGGGGAAAGACCCUGUCUCAAAAGAAAAAAACAAAUAAAAAAAAAGCCUCAGUGAUUCUUUCAAGCCUCAGACCUUGAGCUCAUCAGCAUCUCAAAACUCAACCAAGUCCAGUCAUGUGCCACAACUGAAAAGGAGAUUUGCCUGUGUAUAAGAGGAUGUUAUAGACUGACUUGUAUUUCCCCCAAAUUCAUAUUUUGAAGGCUGAAACCUCCAUAUGACUAUAUUUGGAGAUAGGGUCUUUAAGGAGGUAAUUAAGGCUAAACGAGCUUCUGAAGGGUUGGGAGCCCUAAUCCAAUAGGAUUGGUGUCCAUUACAAAGAGGAAGAGACCCGAGGAAUGUGUGCAUACAGAGAAAAGGCCAUGUGAGGACACAGGGAGUAGAAGCUGUCUGCAAGCCAAGGAGAGAGGCCUCAGGAGAAACCAAGGCUACCAACACCUUGGUCUUGGACUUCCAGCUUUCAGAACAGUGAGAAAAGAAACCUCUGUUGCUAAAGCCACCCAGACUGUGGUAUUUUGUUAUGGCGGCCCUAGCACACUAACAGUGGACUCAUGCAAUAUGUGGCCCUUUGUGUCUGGCGUCUUUCACUUAGCACAUUUUUUUCAAAGUUUAAUCCAUGUUGUAACAUGGAUUAGUACUUCAUUCCUUUUUAUUGAUAAAUAAUAUUCCAUUGUAUAAAUACAUCUCAUUUGGUUUAUCCAUUCAUCAUUUAAUGGACAUUUGGGUUAUUUCCACAUUUUGGUUAUUAUGAAUAAUGUUACUAUGAACAUUCAUGCACAAGUUUUUGUACGGACAUAUGUUUUCAUUUGUCUUGAGUAUAUAUCUAGAAGUAGAAUUUCUAGAUCACAUGAAAACUCUGGGUAUAACUUUGAAGAACUGCCAUACUCUUUCCUGAAAUGGCUGCACCAUUUUACAUUCUCACCAGCAAUGAAUGAGGUUGCAAUUUCUCCACACUCCUGCUAACACUCAUCACUAUCUUUUUAAAAAAUUCUUAUUAUUAGAGCCAUCCUAUCGAGUGUGGCAUGGCAAAUCACUGUGGUUUUGAUUUUUGCUUCCCCAAUAACUAGUGAUGUUAAGCAUCUUUUCAUGUGCUUAUUGGUCAUUCAUAUGUUCUUCUUUGGAGAGCUAUCUAUUCAGAUCUUUGGCUUAUUUUUUAAUGGGCAUUUUGUUUUGUUUUGUUUUUAAUGAUAGAGUCUUGCUAUAUUGCCCAAGCUGGAGUAUGGUGGUUAUUCACAGGUGUGACCAUAAUGCACUACAUUCCAAUCCUUCUGCCUCAGCCUCCCAAGCAGCUGGGACUACAGGUGCAUGUCAUUGUGCCUGGUGGCAAUUAAUUUUUACCUUGUCUUAUUAUUGAGUUGUUAUCACUCUUUGUAUAUUCUAGCUCCAGUUUCUUUAUCAGAUAUAUGACUUGCAAAAACUUUGUUGCAUCUAAUGCGUUAUAUUCUAUUUUCUUUCUUUCUUUUUUUUUUGAGACAGAGUUUCAUGCUUGUAGCCCAGGCUGGAGUACAGUGUUAUGAUCUCAGCUCACUGCAACCUCCACUUCCCAGGUUCAAGCGAUUCUUGUGCCUCAGCCUCCCAAGUAGCUGGGAUUACAGGUGCACGCCACCAAUGCCCAGUUAAUUUUUGUAUUUUUAGUAGAGAUGGAGUUCCACCAUGUUGUCCAGGCUGAUCUUGAACUCCUGACCUCAGGUGAUCCGCCCACCUUGACCUGCCGAAGUGCUAGGAUUACAGGCAUAAACCACCGUGCCUGGCCUAUAUUUUAUUUCUUUUUAUUUAUUUAUUAAAUGUAUUUAUUUAUUUAUUUUUGAGACAGAGUCUCGCUCUGUCACCAGGCUGGAGUGCAGUGGUGCGAUCUCAGUUCCCUGCAUCCUCUGCCUUCCAGAUUCAAGUGAUUCUCCUGCCUCAGCCUCCCCAGUAGCUGGGACUACAGGCACGUGCCACCAUGCCCAGCUAAUUUUUUGUAUUUUUAGUAAAGAUGGGGUUUCACCAUGUUGGCCAGGAUGGUCUCAAACUCCUGAUCUUGUGAUCCACCCUCCUUGGCCUCCCAAAGUGCUGGGAUUACAGGCAUCAGCCACCGCACCCGGCCAAUGGGUCUUUUAAAGUACAAAGGUUUUAGUUUUGAUGAAGUGAAAUCACAUUCUUUCAUUUCUUCUGCUUUUCGUGUCAUCUCUAAGAAAUCAUUGCCAAAUCUAAGGUAAGAUCUACUCAUGUAUCUUCUUUUAAUAGUUCUAUAGUUUUCUUAUAUUUAGGUCUUUAAUUUUGAGUUAAGUUUUUGUAUAUAGUGUAAGGUAGGGGUCCAGCUUUAUUCUUUUGCAUUCAGUUACCUAGCAUUAUUUGUUGAAAAGACUACUCAUUUCCCAGUUGAAUUGUUUUGGCCCUCUACAUGAAAAUCAAAUGACCAUAAACAUGAGGGUUUAUUUAUGGACUCUCAAUUUGAUUCCACUGAUCUAUAUAUCUGUUGUUAUGCCAGCACCACAUUGUAGCGUUGUAGUAAGUUUUGAAAUAAGAAAAUGAAAGUCCUCUAGCUUUGCUCUUCUUUUUUAGGACUGUUUUGGCUAUUCUAGGUCCCAUGAAGCUUGCAAGGCUUUUGAAGGACCAGCUAUCUUUGGUGCCUGGUUCCAGAGUCUAUCUGCAGGCUGAGCAUCUGAGGGUGGCUUGCACGUGUGCCGAGGCUGCCCCACGGGCUAGUCCCCCUGUGCCACUGAAUUAUUCAGUCUGCCUGAAUGGACUUUUUCUAGGUCCUAGAGCUGGAUCUUGUGAAUCCAAAUUCCUGAUGGGUACCUUGUGAGGGAGGAGAUGAAAUUCUAAGUCCAGCUCUCAUAGUGUUCCAAAUAGGGUUGAUGUGUUAGGUCUGAUGGCUUACUCUGAAAUCCUAAGAGUUAUUAAUAAUUAGCUUUGGGCUGGGCAUGGUGGCUCAUGGCUGUAAUCCCAGCACUUUGGGCGGCCGAGGCGGAUGGAUCACGUGAGGUCAGCAGUUUGAGACCAGCCUGGCCAACAUGGCGAAACCCUGCCUCUACUAAAAAUACAAAAAAUAGCCAGGCGUGGUGGCAAGCGCCUAUAAUCCCAGCUACUUGGGAGGCUGAGGCAGGACAAUCGCUUGAACCUGGAAGGUGGUGGUUGCAGUGAGCUGAGAUCAUGCCACUGCACUCCAGCCUGGGCGACAAAGCGAGACUCUGUCUCAAAAAAAAAAAAGAAAAAAAACCACAAAACAACAACAACAAUAAAAAACAAAUAAUUAGCUUUGAUGGUGUCAGUAUAGCCAUGAUGUAGCUGUUGUUUUUGAAUUAUUAAAGUAAUAUAAUCACAUCCUAAAAAAAUGGCAAACAGGGAAGAAAAUUCACCGUAAUCAGAAUUCGCUUGUUAUAGGUUAUAAUGUUAUUUUCGAUUAUCU
This 7235-nucleotide long non-coding RNA is filed under the name Homo sapiens (human). RNAcentral's name for it is "non-protein coding lnc-ZC3H12D-4:11". Lineage: Eukaryota; Metazoa; Chordata; Mammalia; Primates; Hominidae. The record is from RNAcentral.